UUUUUCCACGGUUUGGAAGCUUUAUUUUUUUGCUCUUUGCAAUAAAUAUUGUUGCUGCUAAUUCUUUGAGUCCACACUGCUUUUGUGAGUUGUAGCACUCACCCGAAGGUUUGCAGCUUCACUCCUGAAGCCAGUGAGACCACGAACCCAACGAGAGGAACGAAGAAUUCCAGACGCGCUGCAUUAAGAGCUGUAACACUCACUGCGAAGGUCUGCAGCUUCACUUUUGAAGCCAGCAAGACCACGAACCCAUCAGAAGGAAGAAACUCCAAACACAUCCGAGCAGCAGAAGGAACAAACUCCGGACACGCUGCCUUUAAGAACUGUGACACUCAGAGCGAGGGUCUGCGGCAUCACAUUUGAAGUCAGUGAGACCAAGAACCCACCGAUUCCGGACGCGAGCAGGUUGCUUCAGGGUAUAGACAUUUGGCACAGUACUGCAGCAUAAACCCAUCAAGCUGAGUGGAACCCUCACUCAGGUGGCGCAUCAAGAUUGCUGCUUGUCAAUACAGACAACUGGGAUAACCGAGGCCUCUAAACCAGCCAGAACACUCACGGAUUCUGUAGUAGUCAGUCCUCAAGUUUGUUGGUGUGACCCUGAAGGCAGCGCUUCAUCCUCUAACUUACCUACGCAUCCACACUGGGCUCCAUAUGAAUGGCAGCUGGUCGUCUACUUCACAAUUUAACUUGGGAUCAAAUGUGCUCUUCUGGAAGCUGACUUUAAGGCAGGGAAUGUUCAGGGUAGCUGAAAUCUGCAGAAGCUGGCAGCCUGGGAGCAUGGUGCUUCAAUCCAGGGCUGGCCAGCAGCAGUGCUGUGAUGGGGGCCCAGGUGCUCUUUGGUGUCCUGAACCAUGAUUAUGUGUUUCUGUUGAGAGCUUAUUAUAUACCAGGCAUUGCACUGAGCAUUGUUCAUGGGUUCUCAGACUUAGUCUUCACAACAGUUCUGUGAGCAAUCAUCUAGAAUCAUUCUUGUUUGGAUGAGACACUGCAGUUCAUAAAGGUUAACUUCUCCUAAGUAAUAAGUGGUGGAGCUGGGCCUUGAGCCCAGGUGCUCUGAUGUUGUCUCUUAUCUUCCUUACUCUGUCAGAACUUGACUUCAGUAAUGGCGUUAGAGAGACAUAUUAGUGUCAGGUGUAAAUACCCACCGAGAGGCAGUGUGGUGCAGGGAUCGGGGACAUGGACUGUGGAGUCAGUCUAUCCAACACACGUGGGUUUGAUCCUGGCCCCAAACCUCCCCUGUGUGGAUGAAUAAAUGACCUAACUCUCCAACCCUCUGUGUUCGCAUCUGUAAGGUGCUGGUAACAGCCACACGUCCCGUAAGCAUGAGAUGAUAUCACAUCUACAAAACUCCUGGCACACGGCAUCCUCUCAAUGUUAGCUGUGAUUAUUAUCCACAAGGAGUUAUGUGAGAAUGUUCCUCCAGUGGGAUAUCUGUGAUUUACCUAUUAGAUAU
Molecule: long non-coding RNA, 1453 nt
Filed under: Homo sapiens (human)
Lineage: Eukaryota; Metazoa; Chordata; Mammalia; Primates; Hominidae
Description: HSALNT0100520
Source: RNAcentral